This 421-nucleotide ribosomal RNA is filed under the name uncultured bacterium. RNAcentral's name for it is "bacterial SSU rRNA". It matches the Rfam family "Bacterial small subunit ribosomal RNA", at positions 28 to 434 of the family's 1533-position model. The record is from RNAcentral.
GACGAACGCUGGCGGCGUGGAUAAGACAUGCAAGUCGAACGAGACUUUCUUUGGUAGCAAUACCGAAGGAAGUUUAGUGGCGAACGGGUGCGUAACACGUGGGCAAUCUGCCUUAAAGUGGGGGAUAGCUCGGCGAAAGCCGGAUUAAUACCGCAUGUGAUGAGGGGAGACAUCUUUCCAAAAUCAAAGUUGGUGCAAGCUAACGCUUUUUUGAGGAGCCCGCGGCCUAUCAGCUAGNGGUGGGGUAACGGCCUACCAAGGCUUUGACGGGUAGCUGGUCUGAGAGGACGACCAGUCACACUGGAACUGAGACACGGUCCAGACACCUACGGGUGGCAGCAGUCGAGAAUUUUCUCAAUGGGGGCAACCCUGAAGGAGCGACGCCGCGUGGAGGAUGAAGGCUUUCGGGUUGUAAACUCCU